Molecule: ribosomal RNA, 465 nt
Filed under: uncultured bacterium
Lineage: Bacteria
Description: bacterial SSU rRNA
Rfam family: Bacterial small subunit ribosomal RNA
Source: RNAcentral
ACGAACGCUGGCGGCGUGCUUAACACAUGCAAGUCAAGGGGGCCCGCAAGGGUAACCGGCGAACGGGUGCGUAACACGUGAGCAAUCUGCCUAGAUGUGGGGGAUAGCCGGCCCAACGGCCGGGUAAUACCGCAUACGCUCACCGGGUGGCAUCACUUGGUGAGGAAACAUUCGUGGCAUCUAGAGGAGCUCGCGGCCUAUCAGCUAGUUGGUGGGGUAACGGCCUACCAAGGCAUUGACGGGUAGCUGGUCUGAGAGGAUGGCCAGCCACAUUGGGACUGAGAUACGGCCCAGACUCCUACGGGAGGCAGCAGUGGGGAAUAUUGCGCAAUGGCCGAAAGGCUGACGCAGCGACGCCGCGUGGGGGAUGAAGCAUUUCGGUGUGUAAACCCCUGUUGCCCGGGACGAACAACUGGUUUCGACCAGUCUGACGGUACCGGGUGAGGAAGCACCGGCUAACUCCGU